AGUGAACGCUGGCGGUAGGCCUAACACAUGCAAGUCGAACGGCAGCACAGUAAGAGCUUGCUCUUACGGGUGGCGAGUGGCGGACGGGUGAGGAAUACAUCGGAAUCUACUUUUUCGUGGGGGAUAACGUAGGGAAACUUACGCUAAUACCGCAUACGACCUACGGGUGAAAGCAGGGGAUCUUCGGACCUUGCGCGAUUGAAUGAGCCGAUGUCGGAUUAGCUAGUUGGCGGGGUACAGGCCCACCAAGGCGACGAUCCGUAGCUGGUCUGAGAGGAUGAUCAGCCACACUAGCACUGAGACACGCUCCAGACUCCUACGGGAGGCAGCAGUGGGGAAUAUUAGACAAUGGGCGCAAGCCUGAUCCAGCCAUACCGCGUGGGUGAAGAAGGCCUUCGGGUUGUAAAGCCCUUUUGUUGGGAAAGAAAAGCAGCAGGUUAAUACCCCGCUGUUCUGACGGUACCCAAAGAAUAAGCACCGGCUAACUUCGUG
RNAcentral lists this ribosomal RNA (492 nucleotides) under uncultured bacterium. Its description in RNAcentral is "partial 16S ribosomal RNA". It matches the Rfam family "Bacterial small subunit ribosomal RNA", at positions 29 to 507 of the family's 1533-position model. The record is from RNAcentral.